This 209-nucleotide long non-coding RNA is filed under the name Carica papaya (papaya). RNAcentral describes it as "long non-coding RNA (CPAP_LNC008484)". Lineage: Eukaryota; Viridiplantae; Streptophyta; Magnoliopsida; Brassicales; Caricaceae. The record is from RNAcentral.
CUAGAAUGCAACAAAAGAAAAGAACAAGAAGAAUAAGAAGAAUAAGAAAAACAAGAAUAAGUAGCAGGAGUAGGAGUAGUAGUAGUGGCAGUAUUAGUAAUAGUUGCCCUAAUAGUAGCAGUAGCAAUAUUACCAGUAACAAUAGCAGCAACAGUAGUAGUAGUGGUAGUAGCAAUAGCAGUAGUAGCAAUAUUAGUAGUAGCAGCAGU